This 445-nucleotide ribosomal RNA is filed under the name uncultured bacterium. RNAcentral describes it as "partial 16S ribosomal RNA". It matches the Rfam family "Bacterial small subunit ribosomal RNA", at positions 354 to 796 of the family's 1533-position model. The record is from RNAcentral.
GUGAGGAAUAUUGCGCAAUGGAGGCAACUCUGACGCAGCCAUGCCGCGUGCAGGAAGAAGGCGCUACGCGUUGUAAACUGCUUUUAACCGGGAAGAAACCCCAGGACGUGUCCUGGGUUGACGGUACCGGAGGAAUAAGCACCGGCUAACUUCGUGCCAGCAGCCGCGGUAAUACGAAGGGUGCAAGCGUUAUCCGGAUUCAUUGGGUUUAACGGGUGCGUAGGCGGAGCGUUAAGUCAGUGGUGAAAUCCUGCAGCUUAACUGUAGACGUGCCAUUGAUACUGGCGCUCUUGAGUGCGCUUGAAGUGGGCGGAAUGUGCCGUGUAGCGGUGAAAUGCUUAGAUAUGGCACAGAACACCAAUUGCGAAGGCAGCUCACUAAGGCGAUACUGACGCUGAGGCACGAAAGCGUGGGGAUCGAACAGGAUUAGAAACCCUGGUAGUCC